GAUGAACGCUGGCGGUAUGCUUUACACAUGCAAGUCGUACGAGAGUUUUUAACUCAAGUGGCGGACGGGUGAGUAACACGUAAGAAUUUGCCUUUAGGAGGGGGACAACAACUGGAAACGGUUGCUAAUACCCCAUAUGCUUUCGAGUGAAAUGGUUUUUCCGCCUAAAGAGAAGCUUGCGGCUGAUUAGCUUGUUGGUAAGGUAAUGGCUUACCAAGGCGACGAUCAGUAUCUGGUUUGAGAGGACGAUCAGACACACUGGAACUGAGACACGGUCCAGACUCCUACGGGAGGCAGCAGUGGGGAAUUUUCCGCAAUGGGCGAAAGCCUGACGGAGCAAUACCGCGUGAGGGAUGAAUGCCUAUGGGUUGUAAACCUCUUUUUUCAGGGAGGAAUCAAUGA
This 402-nucleotide ribosomal RNA is filed under the name uncultured phototrophic eukaryote. Its description in RNAcentral is "bacterial SSU rRNA". It matches the Rfam family "Bacterial small subunit ribosomal RNA", at positions 28 to 456 of the family's 1533-position model. The record is from RNAcentral.